CAAAUUAUAGCUUUUAGAAAGUGUCAUUGCUUACAUUAAUGAUUUAAUCGUGCAAUUCGAUUUAAUUUGA
RNAcentral lists this transfer RNA (70 nucleotides) under Ilyocoris cimicoides. RNAcentral's name for it is "tRNA-Val". Lineage: Eukaryota; Metazoa; Arthropoda; Insecta; Hemiptera; Naucoridae. The record is from RNAcentral.